AAAAAUUUUACUAAAAAAAUACAUAAAAGUCAUAGACAUCCGACCAAUUGAGGAAGGAGCAACCUGAACAUAUUUUCUGAAAAGAAAAUUAAUUAACAUUAACAUAAGAAACAAAAAUAAAUGUAGAUAAUCACAACAAUGAAUAAACUAUUAUUCACUUGAUGUCAAGGUGAUGUAUUUACAUAUUUUCAACGUUUGUACGUUAUAUAACUCCUCCAGAGUGCUGUUUUACAGAAAACAUCGUAAAAAACAAUUUAAGUUAUAUAAAAAAAUAAAUUGUUGAUUUUCUUAAAAUCAACGUCAUCUUUCACAUCAAAAUUUUCAACACAUAGAAUAGUUUCUACAUACUAACCUGAUGACAUUGUAAUGUUUUUGCUGUGAAAGAUGAAAUCGUUAAUUUGAUUAGCAUCAGCAUCCCUUGAUUUUUUUGGCAUUGAGAUAACAUCCUUGCAUAUAUUGCUAUGAUCUCUUCUUUCCUAAUUGAAAAACAAAAAAAGACAUGAUUUAAAAGAUGGAAAAAUAGAAAAUAUUAUCUGUGAAUUAAGUUAUCUCUGUUCUCUUGUUGUAUAAAAUCUAAUAGUUUAAGUAUUAAAAAAAUAAACAUAAUGCUGACUGCUAAAUAUAUAAAAAAAGAAAGUCUUAAGUGACUGUAAUAUCUAAAUAUAUAUUCAGAAUAUACAAGUCCAUGAACCAUUAACUAGAUUUUUCAAACAAAUACAGAAUAAGGUUUAAUGAGUUUAUAUAUACUAUACCAUUCUUUUUACUUAUCUUGAAAUGAACAAAAACAAUUAGUUAUUAAGAAAAAAAAGAAUUAAAAUUGAAACAAAUUGAUAAUAUUAGAAAAAAAAAUCUUUAUCCUGAAAUAUGAAAACAUAUAUUGGGUGAAAACUUACAGCUUUAGAAAGCAUCUUUCUACAACAAAAUAAGAAGAAUAUGAAAGAAAGAAGAGAAGAAAGGAGGAAAGGCAGACUAAAGGAGGCG
RNAcentral lists this long non-coding RNA (981 nucleotides) under Vigna radiata. Its description in RNAcentral is "long non-coding RNA (VRAD_LNC013437)". Lineage: Eukaryota; Viridiplantae; Streptophyta; Magnoliopsida; Fabales; Fabaceae. The record is from RNAcentral.